Cryptomeria japonica (Japanese cedar) is the source of this 1064-nucleotide RNA transcript. RefSeq lists it as uncharacterized. The transcript has a single exon. The record is from RefSeq and is a predicted model, not a curated record. NCBI's taxonomy places the organism in Eukaryota, Viridiplantae, Streptophyta, Pinopsida, Cupressales, Cupressaceae.
AAUCCACGCCACUUCCUCCUAUUUUCGAUAACAACAAUAAGCUGCCUUCUGAUAACUUGUGGUUGUGGAAGAAAAUCUUGGCGUGAGAAUGGGCAGUCACUCUGUUGUAGUGCUGGGGUUGAUAGCCCUGGCGGCGAUAUUACUGGGCCAACCUACUGAAGCUGUGGAUUUUGAAUUCUCUAAUAAUGCCCAGGGAACCACCGGUGGCAACAGAUUUGAUCAAGAGAUCGGCCAGAGUGGAGCCCUUGAAAUUAUGAACUCUUCCACUAAAUUCAUCUGGGACACUUUCCAACAGCAAUCGGCUGCAGAUAGGAAGAAUGCGGACAAGGUUACUCUCAUCGUCGAAAGCAUGGACGGCAUUGCGUAUACAAGUGGAGACCAAAUUCACCUGAGUGCAGAUUAUGUGGGAACUUCCAAGGCGACCUCAAGACGGCAAUUCGAGGAGUUUUGUACCAAGAAAUGACGCACGUGUGGCAGUGGAACGGGCAAGGCAAUGCUCCGAGUGGACUCAUUGAGGGCGUUGCAGACUAUGUUCGCCUCACUGCCGCUCUGGCUUCUCCUCAAUGGGUGAAGCCCGGUGGUGGAGACAAAUGGGACCAGUGUUAUGAUGUUACUGCCUAUUUCUUGCAGUAUUGUGAUAGUGUUAGCUCUGGAUUUGUUGCCAAGCUCAACGCUAAAUUGGCUUCUGGAUGGAACGUGGGAUUCUUUAAUGACCUCACUGGUAAAUCUGUUGAUCAGCUUUGGAGUGAUUACAAGGCCAGGUAUGCUUCUCCUGCUUAGAGAUCAAUAUGCUCUGCUUUUAUCAUCUACCUGUUAUAACUAGCUAUGUCAAAUAAACGAGCCGCAAAUGGGAAUAAUAUAUUCGUAUCCACAUUAAAAUACCAUGGAGAGUGGUUUUUUUUUAAGUUUUCCCUUGUUAUAGGUUGUAUUGGUAUAGUUUUGGGUCUAUUUGGUACCAUGUUUGGCCAUUGUAGCUAUCAAAUAUUACUAUGAUAUAUGUAGGCAAUUACGAUGCUUAAGAUCUAAUGAGGCAUUCAAUAUCUAUGCAUUAUUUGAAAGAUCAA